AUCUAGCUGACGAGUCCGAAAUAGGACGAAACGCGCGUCCUGGAU
Non-coding RNA from Schistosoma curassoni, 45 nucleotides. NCBI's taxonomy places the organism in Eukaryota, Metazoa, Platyhelminthes, Trematoda, Strigeidida, Schistosomatidae. The record is from Rfam.